Molecule: transfer RNA, 92 nt
Filed under: Leucoagaricus sp. SymC.cos
Lineage: Eukaryota; Fungi; Basidiomycota; Agaricomycetes; Agaricales; Agaricaceae
Rfam family: tRNA
About the family: Transfer RNA (tRNA) molecules are approximately 80 nucleotides in length. Their secondary structure includes four short double-helical elements and three loops (D, anti-codon, and T loops).
Source: Rfam by way of RNAcentral
GCCCCUGUUGUCUAAUGGUUAUGACGUCAGACUUCUAGCUCUUUAUGAUCAGCUUUAUCUGGAGGUUGCGGGUUCGAGUCCUGCCAGGGGCU